This 407-nucleotide ribosomal RNA is filed under the name uncultured bacterium. Its description in RNAcentral is "bacterial SSU rRNA". It matches the Rfam family "Bacterial small subunit ribosomal RNA", at positions 99 to 507 of the family's 1533-position model. The record is from RNAcentral.
CGAACGGGUGAAGUAACACGUGAGUAAUCUGCCCUUGGUCUUUGGGAAUAACCGACCGGAAACGGUGGCUAAUACCGGAUAUGACGGGCUCCGGCAGUCGGGGUUCGUGGAAAGUUUUUUCGGCCAGGGAUGUGCUCGCGGCCUAUCAGCUUGUUGGUGGGGUAAUGGCCUACCAAGGCUUCGACGGUAGCCGGCCUGAGAGGGUGACCGGCCACACUGGGACUGAGACACGGCCCAGACUCCUACGGGAGGCAGCAGUGGGGAAUAUUGGACAAUGGGCGGAAGCCUGAUCCAGCAACGCCGCGUGAGGGAUGACGGCCUUCGGGUUGUAAACCUCUUUCAGUACCGACGAAGCGCCGAUGAUGGUGGUGACGGUAGGUACAGAAGAAGCACCGGCCAACUACGUG